Molecule: long non-coding RNA, 762 nt
Filed under: Homo sapiens (human)
Lineage: Eukaryota; Metazoa; Chordata; Mammalia; Primates; Hominidae
Description: HSALNT0047612
Source: RNAcentral
UUUAUUUUUCAUAACUGGCCCCUCCACUAGUCUAUUUUAGUUCCUGCCUUGCUGUAAUGUAAAGUUAACUAAUUUUUUUCUGCCUCUCAAAAUUAGUUUGAGAAACUAUGGUAACUAUAUAUGGAUGCCUAAAGCUGUAUGAGAAUUGCAUGGGGUACAGGUGGAGGGAUUAUCGUUUUCAUCAUCACGAAUGUGAUCCUUAUUUGAAAUGUAUAAAAAGCAAACUUGAAAAAUUCACUUUUGGAAAAUGAAUGCUCUGUUUGGACUGUGCCAGGCCUGGCAGGUGGUAGAAGCCAGUUUUGGAUCCAGUGAAGGGAGGUCUCAGGAGGCCUCUAGAGCUGGUGGGCCAGAGAAGGGCUGAAUCCAGGGUGGACUUAGAGGCAGUGGCUGUGGGGUGAAGGGAGGUUAAGGGGCUGGAUGAAUUCUCUGAGACACAUUAGCAGCCACACAUCCUCUAAAUAGGGUGUCUGCUGCCUUGGUCUUGGGUCUGAAAGUUGCUGGUUCUGUCACUGAAGGGAGCUGUUUGUGAGGGAAGCCUUGGGUCUGCAGCAGAAUACACUCUGAAUCAUCACAAGGAAGAGAAUAAGGUGAGAUUGUUUAGUUGUUGGGUGUGUGAGGGCUCUGGGAGAUGGUCCAAGGAAAUCAGAGAGUAUUAGCUCAAUGUGUAUGAUUUGCUCCAGAUUAUCUUAGGCAUUGUGGGUGACACAUUUUCGGGCACUCUGUAGUAUUAAACCGCAUAAUUUCAGAUAUGUUCAGAUAUGU